This 375-nucleotide ribosomal RNA is filed under the name uncultured bacterium. RNAcentral's name for it is "partial 16S ribosomal RNA". It matches the Rfam family "Bacterial small subunit ribosomal RNA", at positions 338 to 710 of the family's 1533-position model. The record is from RNAcentral.
CCUACGGGAGGCAGCAGUGAGGAAUCUUGGUCAAUGGGCGCGAGCCUGAACCAGCCACGUAGCGUGAAAGAUGACUGCCCUCCGGGUUGUAAACUUCUUUUAUAAAGGAAUAAAGUGAGGCAAGUUUGCCUUUUUGUAUGUACUUUAUGAAUACAGAUCGGCUAACUCCGUGCCAGCAGCCGAGGUAAUACGGAGGAUCCGAGCGUUUUCCGGAUUUAUUGGGUUUAAAGGGAGCGUAGGUGGUGUGUUAAGUCAGUUGUGAAAGUUUGCGGCUCAACCGUAACAUUGCAAUGGAUACUGGCAGUCUUGAGUACAGAUGAGGUAGGCGGAAUUCGAGGUGUAGCGGUGAAAUGCUUAGAUAUCACGAAGAACUCC